GUGAGCCGGUGGGGGAGGGAGCGCAACUGCAAGGGUUGUCCCGGGACAGUGCCGGUACGAACCUCACCCCGCCGCCACCCCCGGGCCAGCUGCUGCAGUCAAUAAGGCGAGGGCCUAGCAGGCGCUCGUCGCCCUCCUGGUGGGGUUCGCUCGGGUGUUCCUACCAGGGUUGAAGAGGGCUAGGGAGCUGAGCUCCGGAAGGGCGGACUAGAGGCCCCAGCGGCCACUCCUAGAGAGGCGGGCAGCUCGGGAGGUCUGAGCGCAGAGGGCGGGCGGAGCCGCACGUUGCGUGGAAUCCCCUAGUUCAUUCCCGGGAGAGCCCCGGGCGCAGGACAGAGCGGUGGAGGGGCGCCUGGGAGCUCUGGGGGACACCAAGAGAAGAGAGGUUAGGGCCAGUGCGCAGCAAACGGGGAGGAACUACGACGCGCUGGGUAGAAAGAGUAAGAGAGGCGCACCCACUUUGCUGGUGAGGGGGGCACACGGGGAGCCUAAGAAAGGCCUAAAGAGGUAGUGGGUGUGAGCCAGCCUCGGGCGCGUUAAAAAGGGGGCGCCGGAGGGAGGCAAGGAGAGGAAGUUGGGUGUAGGAAGAAGCGAGAGGAAACUGUUGCCUGGACAGAGCGUGCCGUGCCAAAGCGCGGAAACGGGAUCAAGGAGGGGGCAUCAGGAAUCGCCUGGGGACCCCCCGGAGAGUGGCGGAAGCGGUGCCCUUGGGCGCAGCAAAGAGAGAAGGGAGCACAGGCUGAGAUAGAGACAGUCCUGGGCGCUGGAGAGCAGGAGCCCCCGGAGCGGCAGGGAAAGGAACGUAGAGCCUGCAUGCUCGGGGUAUGAGCUUACUGCGCUCGCUAGGGUGGCGCGCACUGGGGCUCUAGAAAAGAGGGUUGAGAAGCCCCGGGCAAGUGCCUAGGAAGGUCAGAGGAGUCAGCAAAGUCCACGGAAGAACUUCCCCGGGUUGGAGAGGAAACGCACCCUGGGAGCUGGAAAGAAGAGGAAAGCUAGCCUGGGGGAAGCUUGAUCAGGGCUCUGAGUACCACGAGGAGUGCAGAGGAGGUGCUGAUGAUUGCGGGGAGAGCUCUGAGAGCCCGAGAAAGAUGGGGAAACUGAAGCCCUAGAGGAAAAGAAGACUAAAUGUAUUACCAUCUGACCCACUUCCUGGCCAGCCUGUUCACCUGUCUGCUGUUCUUCAUUGUUGGGCUGCCUUCUUUUGAUCAAAGCACCUGGAUUUUCAUCUUGGGACUUAUCCCUUCUCCAUCCUCAGUACAUGUUGCUCAAAUGUGGGUAACCCUGGUCUCUGGGCUCCAAGUGAAUAACUCAGGGGUGAUUCUUUUGCGACCCUUGAUGUUUCUUUACAGAAAGAGAAGCUUAUUUUUUUUUCCCUGCUGUUCCUAAGCCAGAAGAAUUUAAACCUGGAGCUGCUGGUGGCCAUUUUGACACUCAAUAAAGAGCUCUUGCCUGAGAAUGAAACCAUCACAAAUGGAAAUAGAGACAAUGAAUAUAGGCAGAUUCUUGAUGACUUUGUCUAAACUCUUGGAUCUAGCUAUGCCUGAAACCUUAGAGUUUCUGUAAUGUGAACCUCUGAUUCCAAUAUUUUUUGCUUGUGUAAAUUUGAGAGGGUUUUGUUACUUGCAACUAAAAGAUUUUUGAUAAAAUAGACCUGUGAUAGACUUGAGCUCUCCCUCUCCCUCUCCCUCUCGUCUCCCUCUCCCUCUCCCUCUCCCUCUCCCCAUGGUCUCCCUCUCCCCAUGGUCUCCCUCUCCCUCUCUUUCCACGGUCUCCCUCUCAUGCCAAGCCGAAGCUGGACUAUACUGCUG
Molecule: long non-coding RNA, 1808 nt
Filed under: Homo sapiens (human)
Lineage: Eukaryota; Metazoa; Chordata; Mammalia; Primates; Hominidae
Description: HSALNT0195855
Source: RNAcentral